This 452-nucleotide ribosomal RNA is filed under the name Pimoa trifurcata. RNAcentral's name for it is "eukaryotic LSU rRNA". It matches the Rfam family "Eukaryotic large subunit ribosomal RNA", at positions 595 to 810 of the family's 3401-position model. Lineage: Eukaryota; Metazoa; Arthropoda; Arachnida; Araneae; Pimoidae. The record is from RNAcentral.
GCGUUCCUCGUGUUCGUCGCCGGUUGUUAGCCGUCUCGUCGCACGGCUCGUAGCCCGACCGUGGUGUCGCGAGGCCCCUCAUGGGCCUCUCCGCCUCCUCCUGUAAAAGGUAGCGAGCAAGAACUCGGCAGGAGUUCGACCCCCUGCGGGCGCACGGACCGACUCCGUGGCCCAGCGUCGGGUCGUCUUCGUUGGCCGGGACGGGCUCGUCGGAGUGUCGGCGGUUGGCGGCGAGUAGAUCGGUCACCCACCCGACCCGUCUUGAAACACGGACCAAGGAGUCUAACAUGUGUGCGAGUCAAUGGGUCUCGAAUAAGCCCAGAGGCGCAAUGAAAGCAAAGGCCGGACUCGACUCCGUGCCGCGUUGGGAUCCCCUCUCCCUCGCGGGAGGGGCGCACCAACGACCCGUCCUGUUCCACUUGUGGAUUGGGCGGAGUCCGAGCAUACACGUU